UACGUAGGGACCGAGCGUUGUCCGGAAUCACUGGGCGUAAAGAGCGUGUAGGCGGCUUGUUAAGUCUUGCGUGAAAUCUCGGGGCUCAACCCCGAGCGGUCGUGAGAAACUGGCAGGCUAGAGUGCGGGAGAGGAGAGUGGAAUUCCUGGUGUAGCGGUGGAAUGCGCAGAUAUCAGGAAGAACACCCGUGGCGAAGGCGGCUCUCUGGAACGCAACUGACGCUGAGACGCGAAAGCGUGGGGAGCAAACAGG
Molecule: ribosomal RNA, 253 nt
Filed under: uncultured bacterium
Lineage: Bacteria
Description: partial 16S ribosomal RNA
Rfam family: Bacterial small subunit ribosomal RNA
Source: RNAcentral